CACUGAAACGAGGUUAUUCCCGCCAUUGAUCCAAUCCGGUACUGUUCCGACUUCAUACUUCUAUUUGAUUUUCAGUAUGGCCGAUUACCUAAUCACGGGGGGAACUGGUUACAUCCCCGACGAUGGCUUGACGGGUGCCCAGCUCUUUGGCGGCGGCGAUGGGAUGACUUACAAUGAUUUCCUCAUAUUACCUGGCUUUAUUGACUUCUCGUCUAACGAUGUGGACCUGACAUCUGCGUUGACCCGUAAGAUCACCCUGAAGUCUCCACUAGUGUCCUCACCGAUGGACACGGUCACUGAAGCUCAGAUGGCCAUUGGCCUAGCUUUAUGUGGUGGUAUCGGAAUCAUCCAUCAUAACUGUACCGCUGAGUUCCAGGCAAAUGAGGUCAGAAAGGUCAAGAAAUACGAACAGGGAUUUAUCCUUGACCCAGUGGUCAUGUCCCCAAGUCAUACAGUUUCUGAUAUUGUGCAAGCCAAGAGACAAUAUGGCUUCUCGGGUAUCCCCAUCACUGAGAAGGGACACAUGGGGGAGAAGCUGGUCGGCCUCGUCACGCAGCGGGACAUCGACUUCUUCACCAGGGACCAGUACCACACACCCAUCUCAGAGGUGAUGACCCCCUAUGAAGACCUGAUUGUGGCCCCAGCAGGUGUGACACUCAAAGAGGCCAAUGGAAUCUUACAGAAGAGCAAGAAAGGUAAACUCCCCAUUGUGAAUGAUCGAGAUGAGCUGGUGGCCCUCAUUGCCAGAACCGACACAAAGAAGAACCGAGAGUUUCCACUGGCAUCCAAGGAUGAGAGGAAGCAGUUGUUGGUCGGCGCUGCAGUCAGCACACACGAGGAGGACAAGGACCGCAUUGACCAGCUUGUGCAGGCAGGGGUGGACGUGGUUGUGUUGGAUUCCUCACAAGGCAACUCAAUAUUCCAGAUCAAUCUCAUUCGCUACCUUAAACAGAAGUACCAAGAUCUCCAAGUGAUCGGAGGCAAUGUUGUCACAGCAGCACAAGCAAAGAAUCUGAUAGAUGCUGGCGUCGACGGUCUGCGAGUCGGCAUGGGUAGCGGCUCCAUCUGCAUCACACAGGAAGUGAUGGCUGUAGGUCGUCCACAGGGUACUGCAGUCUACAAAGUUGCCGAGUAUGCUCGCCGAUUUGGAGUGCCAGUAGUUGCUGAUGGAGGCGUUUCAUCAGUGGGACAUAUCAUCAAAGCUUUGUCACUAGGAGCCUCCACAGUGAUGAUGGGCUCGUUACUGGCUGGCACAACAGAGGCUCCAGGAGAAUAUUUCUUCGCUGAUGGCGUGCGGUUAAAAAAAUAUCGUGGUAUGGGAUCUCUGGACGCCAUGGAGACUCAUCGGAGUAGUCAGAGUCGAUAUUUCAGCGAGAGUGAUAAAAUCAAAGUAGCGCAAGGUGUUUCAGGGUCCAUUGUUGACAAAGGCUCCAUCCAGAAGUUCGUUCCAUAUCUGAUAGCCGGGAUCAAACAUGGCUGCCAGGACAUUGGCGCCAAAAGUCUUUCCAUAUUAAGACAAGGGGGAUACUUUAGUUUUACAAGACACGUGGAGGAGGCAGAAGAUUUCUUUGCAGAAGUUUGGAAUUAUGAGAAGGUCGAUGAUGUAUUCAGGUGAACUCAAGUUUGAGAAGAGAACGACAUCUGCUCAGAUAGAGGGAGGUGUGCACGGCUUACACAACUAUGAGAAGAGGUUGUACUGAGCCAUAUUGCCUUCCAAACUGUCACGAUUAUCUUGCUCAACAUUGCCAUGCCGACAUGGGCCACAGUCAGGGUCAUCUCCAGGACAUAGCAGGGAAAAGGCUUUUACAAGCGGAUUAAUUUACUCUGGCCUCUCUCAGCAUUACUGUUUAAUUUGAACUGAAAAACUGAGUCAUGCAGAUCUGUGUUGGAGUGCUUGACAAAGUACUGGUUUCCUGACAACUAGUGACCAGAAAGCUGCUAGUUUCCAGACAACUCCAUCUGCUUUCAGCCUGUUUCGGAUCAGGUCUUACUCUGAUGCAAUACCGCUCUAUGUGAAGAACAGUCAUAGGAGGUCACGUGAGGUGAACUAAUCACCAAUUCAGUGACAACUGAAGCAGAGCAGCAUAUCUGAUUUCUGUAUAUUGAAAACAAACAUUAACAGUCAGUUCCAGCAGCUGUAUUUCAUACAUCCUCUCAUUUCUGAGUGCCAUGACAUCUACACCGAUAAGGGUGUACUAUCAAGGGUGUAUGUGUGUUUUCUCUAGGUUCUCUUUUUCGAUAAAACAAUUUCUGAAUUGAAAAAUUGUUUUUGAAAGCUGACAUCUGAUUGCCUUAAAUGGCAAGUAAAGUCAACAUUGCAACUUUGCAUAUUUUAAUACUUUAGUGCAUACUUAAUCACAAAUGCUUGACCAAAAUGAAAUUUGAAAAUUAUAUAGCAUAAAACAGAUGAUAAAAACCGACAUGUGAAAUCAUCACCAAAACGAAAAAUUCCACCAGAAAGGGAGAAGGUUUCAGCACUCUUUUACUUGGAUAUUUAAGUUCUUUCUACAAAUAUGAUGCCUUUUUUCUAUCCUUGAAGUUGACUAAACGUAUUAACAAAAAUAUCGCAAUCAUAUUUUUUACUUUUCUUGCCCUUUAAGAACCCAUUCAUCCUUCAUUUGCACUGGACAUUCACCUGACAGGUCCUCCCAUUGAGGGUUUCUGAGAUCUUCACGCAGAGGGGUAUCGUAUCAGAGUAAAACUAUCCGACUUUGAUGCCAUAUGCACUGCCAACAGCAAAUGCCUGGAGUAUGGAUAGAGCCAAGCCUGACAGGAGACUGCAAUAAUCUGAUCCUCACGUCAGACCAAUGUAUUCCAAAUAUAAUCAUGCUUCUGCCAUUGAGUGUUCAAUUUAUUCUUAUCUUGCUUUUCAUUAGCAUUUUGACAGUUACUUAUAAGGCAAAGCCAACAGUAGAGACACUUUUUGUUUCCAGCAACAUUUAGUGGUUGGUGACAUAUUUACACUGAAUGCCAUUGAAUGUUGCUAAAGGGUACAAGUCUACAUCAGAUCGUGGUAGUGAGUAGUCUGUCAACUUCACGUUAGAUACUGAUAUGCGGUACAAGUGUAGGCUGGACAAGUAAAGUAAUUGUUUUUCUUGAUAUUAACUACUGAUAUUAAGUGUAGUAUCAGUUUGAUUUUUCACUAAAUGCUGACAUUGAGUACAUUACUUUUAUUAAAUACUGUUAUCAAGUGACAUGGAUAUAACGUUUUACAGUUUGGGAUAUGGAAUUUUGUGUCAGUUUUUUGCUGGAGACAAAUGAUUGUUUCUGCUGGUCUUUGCCUUCAUUCAUUAUAUAUUUUACACAAUAUGCAUUCCUUGCAGUCAAAAGGGUUGUGUAGCAAACUGUAACUGAUGCCAGUAACACUGUGAAGUGAUAGCUGUAUCGUUGCACGUCAUCUCACAUCAUCGAUUGUCCAAUAUAUCUCCAUUCUAUUACCAUACAUGCCCUGGACCCACAAAACUAAGAAUAGCAUAUAAUAAUACUAUGGGAAAACUUGCCCUAAAAAUCAUUUAUUAAAGUCUUCAGAAUCGGUUAAAUGUAUCAAGAGCAUUUUUUAGGAAGGCGCAAUUUUUCAUUUAGAUCUAUGCCAACCUCUUUCAGAAUACUCGGUUUGAUUGGUUGUUGAUUUGAAUGUGAGGAAUUCUCUCCUGCGUUAGUGAUAGAGAGAUUGAGCAUGUGGCGUCACUUCACACACUAAUCUAUGGUGGCAAAUGUGUUAAAAUAGAAUGGAGAGGCAAUAUAUUUGAUUAUCAAGGAUGGUUGUCUUGUGAAAUUUUGCUAUUUUGUAUUUAUAUCUACUCCUCUUUUAUAUUACAAUUUAUGUUAAUGAUUGUGUCACAAGAUUGCUUGUUAGAGCUGUGCAGAGUGCCAGUUGAAAAUGCCUUCCAUUUUGUGUCACGGCAAUCGUUCAGUUUACAGUUUAAGGGUAUUUUUGCAGAUGCUAUGCUCGUGUUUUCUAAUGUAUGUCAAAUAAUUUCCUGUCAAGCUUGUUGAAUCUUGGAGUUCAGUAUGAUUGCCAAUUCCUCCAUGUAUUCUGAUCAUUUUGUGCCCUGGGGCUGAGGACUCCUGAAUGGGGUUCGGGUGAGUCCCAUUGUGCAGUGUGUCCCUUCACGUGGGAACAAGGUUCUCCAUGAUACGUCAGGUAAACGAAGGAGCAACUUCUUGACAGGUUUUCUAUUUGUAAAAAAUUCAUGAUCGACCAAAUACUCAUCCAAACUAUUUUCUUAUCGGUCUGGAUUUUCUGAUCUUUGUUUAUCUCACUGGAAGUCACUGUCGAUGAUGAUGUAACGAUUUAUAUUCAUAAACAUGUCUUGCCUGUUAUGACAACCUUGGUAACAAAAGGUUACGGUAAUCAUCUUCUCAUUCUUGUGAUGGACACUGAAGGAAUUAUUUUUGUCCAAUCUGACAAAUGUAGAUCUGGUUUCCUACCGUGAGAACUGAUAUCUUAGAGGUGUGUCAUUCACCUAAUUCUCUGCAAAUAUUCUCACUUUAAAACUUGCAACAACCGAAAUAUGAAAGGCCUUAUCAGCCUCAUCCACUAUAUGGUUUUGAUUGUCUGGUUCAGAAUCGAUUUUUUACAGACCGUCGUCAUACAGCCGGAAUGUUGCUGAGUGUCUUUCAACACACACACAAACAGGUUAUGGCACCUGUUGUCAGUUCACAUUUUCAUUGUCUUCAGACCCAUUAGAGACCAAUGAAGCUGAUGCUAAGGGGAUGAUCUUCUUUAUGCUCGCCUCAAGUCAUCUUCUUGCAAAGUGUAGUUUGGUUUCCAUGGCAACCAUGUUUAAAAUGGUAUCGUAAGCUGUAGGCCUUAUGUUUACACUUUACUUUCAUGAGAGUUUGUAUAUGAAUUGAAUUUAAUAGGUCUUCUUUGGUAAAGUCUUCUUCCUAGUACACAGUAUUUUGAUUUUUUAGUUCCAGUCCUGAACUGACAAUCCCUAGAUGGCUGGUCAAUGUUGUCUGUAUUGUAUGUAAACAUAUGUUAGUGUAAAAUUGGCGUCCUUAACCACUGCAGAGUCCAAAACACAAUGUAGUUGGUGAUAAUCCCAGCAUCAAAGUGCAAAUACGAUAUUUAUUUCUUUUUCAUAACUUUUUUUGAAGUUUUUUUAACUUCCAGUGUGGAUUUAUGUGACUUUUUCUCCAGGUAAAAACAUACCUGUUUUGUUGUGUAUGAUUGCUAUGGCACAAUGCUGUCCAUGGACAAUUAUGUGAUGUCAACUUCUGUUUUUAUAAUGAAAUCAUAAGUUAUGUUUAUCUUCUUGGCAGAGAAUUUGCUUGAAGUUAUUCAUUGUUUCCGCAAGAAGUACUCCUAUAAUGUCCUCUGCAAUAUGUCAGUGGCUUACCUUUUAUCGUUUGUUUUAAAAAGUUGACAAAAAUGAAUACUGUGUUGUAACGAGGAUUCCAAAUGCAUGACCAUUUCCGAACAUCUUUCAACAUACAAGUCUACAUUCCUUGGCAUAUUACAUAAAUACUACAAGUCAGUAUUAUCAUGAAGAAGUUCAUUCAUCGAGAAAGUUGAAAUUAUCGGGAUUUUUUCAGUAUGAUAUUUCCCGUUGCAUUUUAUUUUUUUUCAGAAAGCUUUCUUUCGAAUCAUGACUUCGAUACCAUUGAACUCUCUUCGCUAGUAAACCCUUUGUCAUUUAUAACAAAUGUGACUUUACUAAGUUAGGAAGCUGAACAACUUAUCUGAGUGUCAGUUUGUCUGAUGAUUUCUGAUGAUCAUGUCUUUGUUGCAUUUUACAUAGUUCUGUUGAUAGAAGGAUAGAUAUAUCCUGUACUUGUCCAGGGAUUGCACCAUUUUGUUGCAUAUCAGUUGCAUAGUCCUACCCUGAUGAUGAAUUCUUAUUGUUAUUGAUGCACCUGAGCUAAAGGACAUUGUAUUAAUGCCACAGCAUAAUGACUACUUGUUUGUCAAAAUUGCAGCAUUCUUAUCUUUGGUGGUGUUUUUACAGGAGAUUAUGUAGCUUCAAGACUGCCAUCCAAGCCGAGAUGGUGGAACAUUGUGUCAUCGUACCCUGACUGCGUGAACCUUUGUUCAUGCUAUCAACCACUGAUCGGCCAUGCCUGGACUCAAUUGUUUACAAGCAAUUCAGAACAGCUAGAAUAUGGACCACUGCAACAUUAAUCAAAAGCCAUGCAUUGCAUGAAACCUGACUGUUGAUUCAAAUAUGGGCAAUGCGUUGUUAAAUAUAGACAAGGACAAUUUAACAUGCGUGCAUCCACUGGAAACUCAUGAAUUGUUAUGAGUAAUUUGUCGUUAAGUAUUUAAAUACUAGUAUUCAACACCAGCUCAAUUUUUAACCAAGCAAUCUGACAAACAGUUUUCAGUUUGUUGUGGCCUGACCAUGUUAGGGUGGAAUGAUUGAACAGUACCAUAAGAACAAGUGCUGUUGUAAAACUGAUGAAUGACACAGGGAGCAUUCAUUGUACUGUACAGAUGCAGUGCUAUAGAAUACAAUGCAUAGAAUAGUGUACAUAGAUCAAGUUAUAUGCCUUCAAGUAUAUGUUGUUUCAUACAAGUGAUGUGUAUCUAUUUUAUGGCAGUAUUGUUCAUGUUCCUGAAGUUUGGAACAAAUCAUCCUAGAGCAAAUUGUGUAUAUUUGCCCACUGUGUACAAGUGAUUGUAUACUCAACCUAAAAAAAAAGUUACAAUAAAGAUAGUUAGAAUGUUA
Molecule: unclassified non-coding RNA, 6674 nt
Filed under: Haliotis rufescens (red abalone)
Lineage: Eukaryota; Metazoa; Mollusca; Gastropoda; Lepetellida; Haliotidae
Description: inosine-5'-monophosphate dehydrogenase 1-like, transcript variant X1
Source: RNAcentral